AUCUAUAGCCAUACCACCCUGAACAUGCCUGAUCUCAUCUGAUCUCGGAAACUAAGCAGGGUUGGGCCUGGCUAGUACUUGGAUGGGAGACCACCUGGGAAUAUCAGGUGCUGUAGGCU
RNAcentral lists this ribosomal RNA (119 nucleotides) under Aotus nancymaae (Ma's night monkey). The record is from RNAcentral. Lineage: Eukaryota; Metazoa; Chordata; Mammalia; Primates; Aotidae.